GUGCUCACUUCUUUAGCACAUAUAUUAAAAUUAGAACAGUACAGAGAAGAUUAGCAUGGCCCCUGUGCAAGAAUGAUACAUAAAUUCGUUUAGUAUUCCAUAUUUUU
Molecule: small nuclear RNA, 107 nt
Organism: Heterocephalus glaber (naked mole-rat)
Lineage: Eukaryota; Metazoa; Chordata; Mammalia; Rodentia; Bathyergidae
Source: Ensembl